GACGAACGCUGGCGGCGUGCCUAACACAUGCAAGUCGAACGGGGUUGUUCCUUCGGGGACAACUUAGUGGCGAACGGGUGAGUAACGCGUGAGAAACCUGCCUUUCAGUGGGGGACGAACAGUUGGAAACGACUGCUAAUACCGCAUAAUGUAUUUUUAGGGCAUCCUUUAAAUACCAAAGAUUUAUUGCUGAAAGAUGGUCUCGCGUCUGAUUAGCUAGAUGGCGGGGUAACGGCCCACCAUGGCGACGAUCAGUAGCCGGUCUGAGAGGAUGAACGGCCACAUUGGGACUGAGAUACGGCCCAG
RNAcentral lists this ribosomal RNA (306 nucleotides) under uncultured bacterium. Its description in RNAcentral is "bacterial SSU rRNA". It matches the Rfam family "Bacterial small subunit ribosomal RNA", at positions 28 to 334 of the family's 1533-position model. The record is from RNAcentral.